This 245-nucleotide ribosomal RNA is filed under the name uncultured archaeon. RNAcentral describes it as "partial 16S ribosomal RNA". It matches the Rfam family "Archaeal small subunit ribosomal RNA", at positions 474 to 718 of the family's 1478-position model. The record is from RNAcentral.
CACCGGCGCCACGAGUGGGGAUCAUAUUUAUUGGGUCUAAAGCAUCCGUAGCCGGUUCAGCAACUCUUUUGUGAAAUCGUUUCGCUUAACGUAACGACGAGCGAAAGAAACUACUGGACUAGGAACCGGGAGAGGUUAGAGGUAUUCUGGGGGGAGCGGUAAAAUGUGAUAAUCCUCAGAGGACCACCAAUGGUGUAGGCAUCUAACUAGAACGGGUUCGACGGUGAGGGAUGAAGGCUAGGGGA